Molecule: microRNA precursor, 87 nt
Filed under: Nicotiana sylvestris (wood tobacco)
Lineage: Eukaryota; Viridiplantae; Streptophyta; Magnoliopsida; Solanales; Solanaceae
Also listed under: 1 other name
Description: MIR6152 microRNA precursor family
Rfam family: MIR6152 microRNA precursor family
Source: Rfam by way of RNAcentral
UGGACAGUUUACUGUAUUCACAGCGUGAAAUGGGAGAUUACACUGUUUUUAAAAGGGAAAGUGAAUCAAUUAACAUAAUAGACUCCU